Molecule: ribosomal RNA, 512 nt
Filed under: uncultured Theileria sp.
Lineage: Eukaryota; Apicomplexa; Aconoidasida; Piroplasmida; Theileriidae
Description: partial small subunit ribosomal RNA
Rfam family: Eukaryotic small subunit ribosomal RNA
Source: RNAcentral
UGUUUUUCUAUUAAAAGGAAUGAUGGGAAUUUAAACCUCUUUCAGGGUAUCAAUUGGAGGGCAAGUCUGGUGCCAGCAGCCGCGGUAAUUCCAGCUCCAAUAGCGUAUAUUAAAAUUGUUGCAGUUAAAAAGCUGGUAGUUGAAUUUCUGCUGCAUCGCGUCUUCUUUUUGAUGAGUUGCCGUAUUGCGGCUUUUUUCGGAUGAUUUUUUUGUCCGGAUGAUUACUUUGAGAAAAUUAGAGUGCUCAAAGCAGGCUUUUGCCUUGAAUAGUUUAGCAUGGAAUAAUAAAGUAGGACUUUGGUUCUAUUUUGUUGGUUUUAGGUACCAAAGUAAUGGUUAAUAGGAACAGUUGGGGGCAUUCGUAUUUAACUGUCAGAGGUGAAAUUCUUAGAUUUGUUAAAGACGAACUACUGCUGAAAGCAUUUGCCAAGGAUGUUUUCUUUAUUCAACAACAAAAGUUAGGGGAUCAAAGACGAUCAUAUACCGCCGUAGUCCUAUCAAAAAACAAAUAA